This 567-nucleotide ribosomal RNA is filed under the name uncultured archaeon. RNAcentral's name for it is "bacterial SSU rRNA". It matches the Rfam family "Archaeal small subunit ribosomal RNA", at positions 312 to 879 of the family's 1478-position model. The record is from RNAcentral.
CGCGAUUCGCCCUUCGGGGUGCAGCAGGCGCGAAAACUCUACAAUGCAGGCAACUGCGAUAGGGGAACAUCGAGUGAUCCUCAUAUUGGGGGUCUGUCCACCCGUCUAAAAAACGGGUGUUAGCAAGGGCCGGGCAAGACCGGUGCCAGCCGCCGCGGUAAUACCGGCGGCUCGAGUGGUGGCCGAUAUUAUUGAGUCUAAAGGGUCCGUAGCCGGCUUUGCAAGUCUCUCGGGAAAUCCAGCGGCUUAACCGUUGGUCGUCCGGGGGGUACUACAUUGCUUGGGACUGGGAGAGGUAGGAGGUACUCAGGGGGUAGGAGUGAAAUCCUGUAAUCCUUUGGGGACCACCGGUGGCGAAGGCGUCCUACCAGAACAGGUCCGACGGUGAGGGACGAAAGCUAGGGGCACGAACCGGAUUAGAUACCCGGGUAGUCCUAGCCGUAAACGAUGCUCGCUAGGUGUCACAACAGUCGUGAACUGUUGUGGUGCCGUAGGGAAGCCGUGAAGCGAGCCACUUGGGAAGUACGACCGCAAGGUUGAAACUUAAAGGAAUUGGCGGGGGAGCAC